GACAGAGGGUGCAAACGUUGCUCGGAAUCACUGGGCGUAAAGGGCGUGUAGGCGGGUAGGUAAGUCGGGCGUGAAAUCCCUGGGCUCAACCCAGGAACUGCACUCGAAACUACUUUUCUUGAGUGCCGGAGAGGAAAGCGGAAUUCCUGGUGUAGAGGUGAAAUUCGUAGAUAUCAGGAGGAACACCAGUGGCGAAGGCGGCUUUCUGGACGGUAACUGACGCUGAGACGCAAAAGCGUGGGGAGCAAACAGG
Molecule: ribosomal RNA, 253 nt
Filed under: uncultured bacterium
Lineage: Bacteria
Description: partial 16S ribosomal RNA
Rfam family: Bacterial small subunit ribosomal RNA
Source: RNAcentral